This is a long non-coding RNA of Gallus gallus (chicken), 1521 nucleotides long. RefSeq lists it as uncharacterized. The transcript is spliced from 2 exons. The record is from RefSeq and is a predicted model, not a curated record. Lineage: Eukaryota; Metazoa; Chordata; Aves; Galliformes; Phasianidae.
GCAAAAAAUCCAUUGUGAACCGGGACAAUGCGCCAGGAAAGUUUUGUUCAAUGAAUUGAAUGCCACGAGAGAUUGGACAUGCAACAUUCACUGUAGUGGAACUGUUGUCUCUACCUGUCAGAAGAAAAAGAUAAUUCCUUCACUGCCACCCUCACUUUUCUAAUGAAGAGGGGCAGGAAAGAUUGAUGACAAAUAGUGCAUAAAGGAUAUGUAGCCUUGGAGAGAAGUACAAGCACCUGUCCACAAAGCCCAAAAUAUCUUAAGGCUGAAAGAUAGCUGAAAGCUUUACCCCUGUUGACUGAUUCACAUCAUCCUUCUAAUCCUUCCAACCUGACUGUAAUGUUUUUCACUUACCGUGCUCACAAACAGUGAAGCACAGCCUGACAGACCUAAGCUGCUCAAUAUUUGCCGUGCUAAUAUAUUUGAACUGAAGCCUCACUAGAGUUAGAGGAAACAUCUGGUUGGGUGUUAUGUGUACUCCUCCCUGUAUUGAUAUUCGAUCCUAUAUUAUCUUUUUCUAUUGAUACUCUAUUUGUGCAACUGCUCUGAUGAGCACAUAGUAGGCUGCAAAGUUGACUUUCCAAAAUGGAGAAUAAAAGAAUAGGUGAAGAAGAAAAAGAUGAAAAACUGAAAGAAUGAGAAAUGGUUGAAAAAAAUAGUUGGACAUUUAUCUAGCAUGCAAAUAUGGCGUUACAGUACAUUUUUCCUAAUCAGUAAGUUCCGAAUGUUUUAAACAACUAACAAGUUUUCUUUAAGUUAUCAGGACAAUUUAGUUGUUUGUAGAAGGAAAGGAAUACUUCUGAAUACUUACCACAGGUGAAGUUUAAGCCAUAAAAUUCAUUGACAAUCAGAAUCUCACUGCUGUAUUUUUGGAAGGUGAAAAAGCUGAGGAUUUGAAAAGGCAUUGGCAUUUCUUCUAUGGUCCUUUUAAGAAACAGAGAAGUUAAAUUGUCAUUUGCUACAUUGCAAGAACCAGUUCUGCCCUAAAUUGAAACAAUCUCUCUGAUUGUGGGAGAGUUACGUGAAGAGUUCUUGGCUGUACAUGUCAGCUUUUCAAACAUAAGUUUUAUUUCAGUACUAAAUGAGGAGACGGCAGCGAAGGUUCUCUCUGACUUCGGUACAGCAUGGUAACAUUCAGUCCUAAUUUCUUGUUGGUGCAUCGUAAUGUUCCUUCACAUUUAUUAAGCUAUUUAUUGAUUUAAUAUUUUUAUGUAGUUGAGUUUACACAAAUUAAAAAAGAUAUCUGAAAAGUUGACUAAACUGGAGAAGAAUAUUAAUAAAAUUAUUGAGAACAACUGUUUUUUUCUAAAACCACUAUUUAAUGUGUGUAAGUUCCAGCAAUUAUUAAAACUGGUAGGAUUUUUUUUCUGUAGAAUUCUCUAUUAAGGACAGCAUUUGAUACGAUCGUGUUGGCAUAUGUAAAAGAGUUCAGCCGAGCUGUUAGGUUUGAAUUGCUCAAUUUUAUCUUCAAGUUAUAUGCUAUUUUGCAAUAAUAAAUAAACAUUUUAAUAUCUGAAGUUA